CAGGCCUAACACAUGCAAGUCGAGCGGACCAUUCCUUCGGGGAUGGUUAGCGGCGGACGGGUGAGUAACACGUAGGCAACCUGCCUGUAAGAUCGGGAUAACUACCGGAAACGGUAGCUAAGACCGGAUAGCUGGUUUCCCCGCAUGGGGGAAUCAUGAAACACGGGGCAACCUGUGGCUUACGGAUGGGCCUGCGGCGCAUUAGCUAGUUGGUGGGGUAACGGCCCACCAAGGCGACGAUGCGUAGCCGACCUGAGAGGGUGGUCGGCCACACUGGGACUGAGACACGGCCCAGACUCCUACGGGAGGCAGCAGUAGGGAAUCUUCCGCAAUGGGCGCAAGCCUGACGGAGCAACGCCGCGUGAGUGAUGAAGGUUUUCGGAUCGUAAAGCUCUGUUGCCAAGGAAGAACGCCUCGGAGAGUAACUGCUCUGAGGGUGACGGUACUUGAGAAGAAAGCCCCGGCUAACUACGUGCCAGCAGCCGCGGUAAUACGUAGGGGGCAAGCGUUGUCCGGAAUUAUUGGGCGUAAAGCGCGCGCAGGCGGUCUUUUAAGUUUGGUGUUUAAGCCCGGGGCUCAACCCCGGUUCGCACUGAAAACUGGGAGACUUGAGUGCAGGAGAGGAAAGCGGAAUUCCACGUGUAGCGGUGAAAUGCGUAGAGAUGUGGAGGAACACCAGUGGCGAAGGCGGCUUUCUGGACUGUAACUGACGCUGAGGCGCGAAAGCGUGGGGAGCAAACAGGAUUAGAU
RNAcentral lists this ribosomal RNA (750 nucleotides) under uncultured bacterium. RNAcentral's name for it is "bacterial SSU rRNA". It matches the Rfam family "Bacterial small subunit ribosomal RNA", at positions 43 to 783 of the family's 1533-position model. The record is from RNAcentral.